Molecule: long non-coding RNA, 394 nt
Organism: Boleophthalmus pectinirostris (great blue-spotted mudskipper)
Lineage: Eukaryota; Metazoa; Chordata; Actinopteri; Gobiiformes; Gobiidae
Exons: 4
Source: RefSeq, a predicted model, not a curated record
UUAAAAGUAAGUCUCUGCCACUCCUGGCAUCACAAGCCACAAGACUGCUCCUGCAUUUCUUUCAGAGUUAUUCCUUCACUCAUUCAGAGGAUGAGGGGCCCCAUUGUCUUCCUUACUCUGGCUCUGGUCAUCAUGUCCAUGACUGAACCUGCAGAGGGCUGGGCGCAUCGUGUCAUUAAGGGACUUCAUGGAUUUGCACAUGGGUUUCUCGGCAAAGCUGAUGAUCAGCAGAACAUGCAGGAGGUGUUGGUGGAAAAACGCUCACCGGACGACUACCAAGCGCCAGACAACACCAAGUGAUCGAUGUUACUUCUGUACUUCAUUACUCAAAUCUAAUCUCAUCAAUCAAGUCUAAAGACGUCAAUAAAGAGCAUUUACAAAAGGCAUUACAAAA